RNAcentral lists this ribosomal RNA (492 nucleotides) under uncultured bacterium. RNAcentral's name for it is "partial 16S ribosomal RNA". It matches the Rfam family "Bacterial small subunit ribosomal RNA", at positions 29 to 507 of the family's 1533-position model. The record is from RNAcentral.
AGUGAACGCUGGCGGUAGGCCUAACACAUGCAAGUCGAACGGCAGCACAGUAAGAGCUUGCUCUUACGGGUGGCGAGUGGCGGACGGGUGAGGAAUACAUCGGAAUCUACUUUUUCGUGGGGGAUAACGUAGGGAAACUUACGCUAAUACCGCAUACGACCUACGGGUGAAAGCAGGGGAUCUUCGGACCUUGCGCGAUUGAAUGAGCCGAUGUCGGAUUAGCUAGUUGGCGGGGUAAAGGCCCACCAAGGCGACGAUCCGUAGCUGGUCUGAGAGGAUGAUCAGCCACACUGGAACUGAGACACGGUCCAGACUCCUACGGGAGGCAGCAGUGGGGAAUAUUGGACAAUGGGCGCAAGCCUGAUCCAGCCAUACCGCGUGAGUGAAGAAGGCCUUCGGGUUGUAAAGCCCUUUUUUUGGGAAAGAAAAGCAGCAGGUUAAUACCCCGCUGUUCUGACGGUACCCAAAGAAUAAGCACCGGCUAACUUCGUG